UCGCCUGUUAUCAAAAACAUCUUUUCUUGUUAGUUUUUGAAGUAUGGCCUGCCCACUGACACGGAUGGUUGAAGGGCCGCGGUAUUUUGACCGUGCAAAGGUAGCAUAGUCAUUAGUUCUUUAAUUGUGAUCUGGUAUGAAUGGUUUGACGAGACAUAUGCUGUCUUAGGUUUGUAGAAUUGGUUGUGUUGAAUUUGGUUUUUGAGUUAAAAUUCUUAAAUGUUUUUGUGGGACGAGAAGACCCUAUAGAGUUUAACAUUUGAUGUAUAGUUUUGUUUUGUUUGUUUUGGGUUGUUAUGUACGUUUCUUGUUUUGUUGGGGUGAUGGGAGGAAUUUUCGUAACUCCUCUUUGUUGUUGGGAUAUUUAUUUAUAUUUGUUUGAUCCAUGUUGAUAUAAGAU
RNAcentral lists this ribosomal RNA (400 nucleotides) under Microtermes mycophagus. Its description in RNAcentral is "partial 16S ribosomal RNA". Lineage: Eukaryota; Metazoa; Arthropoda; Insecta; Blattodea; Termitidae. The record is from RNAcentral.